GCCAACAUGGUGUAGUGGUUUUACCACUGGACUACAACUCUGGAGAUCAGGGUUCAAUUCCUUGCUUGGCC
This 71-nucleotide transfer RNA is filed under the name Phrynosoma platyrhinos (Desert horned lizard). RNAcentral describes it as "tRNA-OTHER". Lineage: Eukaryota; Metazoa; Chordata; Lepidosauria; Squamata; Phrynosomatidae. The record is from RNAcentral.